CCAAGUUUCACUAAAGUGAGAAUUUAAAUUUAAUUUUACAUUUUAGGCCAAAGUGCCCGAGAUGGAAGCAUAACUGCUGUUUUGGUUUUGAAUUUAAAAUUCACUUGCAAAUGUUCCUUUAUUGAAUUACCUGUAUUAAUGCAUAUUUUAGUAACUAACCUUGGUACUUUCAUGUACUGAAAGCAGCCAUGGAUUUAUGACAUUCUUUAGAGUCCUGGUGACCAGAG
Molecule: non-coding RNA, 227 nt
Organism: Pelobates cultripes (western spadefoot toad)
Lineage: Eukaryota; Metazoa; Chordata; Amphibia; Anura; Pelobatidae
Source: the annotation of a GenBank genome assembly